Molecule: ribosomal RNA, 253 nt
Filed under: uncultured bacterium
Lineage: Bacteria
Description: partial 16S ribosomal RNA
Rfam family: Bacterial small subunit ribosomal RNA
Source: RNAcentral
UACGGGGGGGGCAAGCGUUGUUCGGAAUUACUGGGCGUAAAGGGCUCGUAGGCGGCCAACUAAGUCAGACGUGAAAUCCCUCGGCUUAACCGGGGAACUGCAUCUGAUACUGGAUGGCUUGAGUUCGGGAGAGGGAUGCGGAAUUCCAGGUGUAGCGGUGAAAUGCGUAGAUAUCUAGAGGAACGCCCAAGGCGAAGGCAGGCAGCUGGGCCAAUUCUGACGCUGAGGCACGAAAGCUAGGGGAGCAAACAGG